Molecule: long non-coding RNA, 324 nt
Organism: Amblyraja radiata (thorny skate)
Lineage: Eukaryota; Metazoa; Chordata; Chondrichthyes; Rajiformes; Rajidae
Exons: 3
Source: RefSeq, a predicted model, not a curated record
UAAUUGGGAAGUUAUAAAUUGAGUCUGAAAGCAGGGCCAGACAGAGAACAGCACUGCUGUCAAACAUAGUGGGACUCUUUGUGGAGACCAACAACUACAACUCUAGUAUACUGCAGCUGGGGAAUAUUGGUACUCGGUGAGAAAAAGAUGCCAUUGAACGUGACCCCCAAGAAUGAAGCAACUGGCAUUGAGAGCAAUUUUAUGGCAUCUUUAUCUCGUAAACUUUGCAAUGAUAACAGUACCUGUCCACAUAGAAAGGGAAGCAAAACUUGGUCAAUGUCUGCAGAACUUCCUGUGGAGAGAAAACAGAGAAUUUAUGCAUCU